RNAcentral lists this long non-coding RNA (702 nucleotides) under Vitis vinifera (wine grape). Its description in RNAcentral is "long non-coding RNA (VVIN_LNC005144)". The record is from RNAcentral. Lineage: Eukaryota; Viridiplantae; Streptophyta; Magnoliopsida; Vitales; Vitaceae.
UUUUGCACAUUUGCACAUCCAAACAUAACAUCCAUUUAUAAACAUCCAAAUAUUCACAAUAACAUCCCCACAUAAACAUCCUAAUAAGACAUUCAAAAUAUCCCAAACAUCCAAAAUGUCUAAAAGAACAUCCAAAUAACAACCAUAAAUGACAGAUCCAAAAGGAACAAUCUCAGCCCCUAGGCACAAAUUUAGUUUCGAGGUUCGUGAUUGUGACCUUCUCUCCAUCAAUCGCGUUCCUGUAUUCUCGACCAAUAAGAUCAACAUAGAUCUCUUGGCCAGAUGUCUGAAAAAAAAUAGAAAAACCAUUAGUGACAUGAGCACAAAUUCAUAACAAGAAAAAUGAUAAAAUUAUGGUGACAAUGGUAUACUGUCACCGCUAGCCAUCCACCGUUGAACGAAUAGUUCAUCGGGAUAAGCCCAUUGCAAUUAAACAACAUCAAUCCAUCACCUCUAUAGUGAUGCUCGCUUAGUGGAUUUCCAUGGCCUAAGAUCAAUGAGAUGACACCUCAUUUGUCAUAUCCAUCAACUGCAAUAUAUAUAUAUAUAUAUAUAUAUAUAUAUAUAUAUAUAUAUAUAUAUAAAACAGGAAAUCAUGGGCAGACGAAUGAGAGGAAAAAAAAAACAUUGGCAAUAGCAAAGAAAACAAUGGAAGCUUAAGUAAUAUUACCUACUCUAAGAGAUGCAUUGUUAUAAUUCCUU